CAGAGGUGGCAAGCGUUGUUCGGAAUUACUGGGCGUAAAGGGCGCGUAGGCGGUCUUUUUAGUCAGACGUGAAAUCCCCCGGCUUAACCUGGGAACUGCGUCUGAUACUGGAAGGCUUGAAUGCGGGAGAGGGAUGUGGAAUUCCAGGUGUAGCGGUGAAAUGCGUAGAUAUCUGGAGGAACACCGGCGGCGAAGGCGGCAUCCUGGACCGACAUUGACGCUGAAGCGCGAAAGCUAGGGGAGCAAACGGGAUUAGAUACCCCGGUAGUCCUAGCCCUAAACGAUGAGUGCUUGGUGUGGCGGGUAUCGAUCCCUGCCGUGCCGAAGCUAACGCAUUAAGCACUCCGCCUGGGGAGUACGGUCGCAAGGCUG
Molecule: ribosomal RNA, 372 nt
Filed under: uncultured organism
Description: bacterial SSU rRNA
Rfam family: Bacterial small subunit ribosomal RNA
Source: RNAcentral